GUCGAGAAUCUUUCACAAUGGGGGCAACCCUGAUGGAGCGACGCCGCGUGGAGGAUAAGGUCUUUGGAUUGUAAACUCCUGUCAUGCGUGAACAAGGUUGCUUGGAUAAUACCUGAGCAAAUUGAUGGUAGCGCAAGAGGAAGAGACGGCUAACUCUGUGCCAGCAGCCGCGGUAAUACAGAGGUCUCAAGCGUUGUUCGGAAUCACUGGGCGUAAAGGGUGCGUAGGUGGCGUGGCAAGUCAGAUGUGAAAGCCCGGGGCUCAACCUCGGAACUGCAUCCGAUACUGCCAUGCUAGAGUACUGGAGGGGUGACUAGAAUUCUCGGUGUAGCAGUGAAAUGCGUAGAUAUCGAGAGGAAUACCAAAGGCGUAGGCAGGUCACUGGACAGUUACUGACACUGAGGCACGAAGGCCAGGGGAGCGAACGGGAUUAGAAACCCCGGUAGUCC
Molecule: ribosomal RNA, 449 nt
Filed under: uncultured bacterium
Lineage: Bacteria
Description: partial 16S ribosomal RNA
Rfam family: Bacterial small subunit ribosomal RNA
Source: RNAcentral